Long non-coding RNA from Anopheles funestus (African malaria mosquito), 4761 nucleotides. RefSeq lists it as uncharacterized. The transcript is spliced from 2 exons. The record is from RefSeq and is a predicted model, not a curated record. NCBI's taxonomy places the organism in Eukaryota, Metazoa, Arthropoda, Insecta, Diptera, Culicidae.
CGUUUUCACUCAAGCAAAUGGGGUUAAAAAGAAAAUUUAAUAUUUUUUAGUUACUUUUGAUAACUAAAAUCACACAAAAUAAUAGAAUAAACACAUUUUUAAUUGAUUUUAAAACCGCAGUUUUGAGCGACAAAUUUUUGUUUCAAUUUGACAUCAAGUGACAGCAUUUUGUGCAGUCAGCUCAAAAUGCUGGCGCUGUGUAUUCAACGCAUCAGUUUAAAACUGUUUUUUAGUUUAUAUAAUAAUUGUGAUAUUAUUGUUUAAUUCAUUCAACAAAAUAAUCGUUUGCGAAAGUCGAUAUUCCGAUUUACAAUAGAUGCACUUCGUUUUUGAAUGGAUUACGAAAAUGUUUUGAAACUUUGACGGUUCAUGUGGCAGCACAAACAGACAGCAUGAAAAUAGCACAAGCCCGGUGUUCCAUACAUCUUUUGUUGUGUUAUUUUUAAAUACGUUAAAUGAGGAAUCUUGCUUUAGGGCUGCAGCCCUCCAUCCACCAACGAAGGCGAGUGGAUCGAACAACAGCGGUGUCAGCAAAACAGGUGGAUCGGGCAAUUGCGCUUGGCAUGCGGCGUCAGCGGAAACGUUCUAGUUAGCCGAAUGCGUGUGGUCGUAUCACCUGACCAUCGUUAAGCCAGAUCAGCAGAACAGGAACGUACGAACCAGGUUCGAUGGGAACUAGCGCAGAAAAUAGAGUUUAGUUCAGUUUGGAUAGCCAUCGCGAUCACUGUUUAACUCGAGUUGUAAAGUGAAUAAAAAUAUAUUUUUUUAAUAUCAAUGAUCAGCCACAAUGAGUGUGACCCAAAGUGAAGUGACUUUACAAAGUGGUAUGUCCAUCAGUAGAGCGCCAUCUGGUCACCACGGCAAAUCGAAAAUGAAGGAGCCUUGGUCGAAGAAAAAAUGGACAAACUGACACCGGAGAUCCUAACCCUGAUUCUGUAAGUAAGAACCAGGUAAGAUUUAUCAUUCUGUAAAUAAAAAGUAAGUUAGGGAAGGUAGGGAACGACUUCGUAAAAAAAUGCACGGAACAUUUCUUAUUACAUUCCAAAUCUUCCAUCUCUUUUUCGAAGGGUUUUCCAAGGUUUUGUUUGAUACAAAUUGUACUUAAUCUCUUGUAGUUUUCGAGAGAAUAAGUUAAACUUUAUUCAGACCUUUUGGUCGUAAAAGAAAUUUUAUUUCUAAUUCUUAAUCUAAUGUUCUCUACUGCUCUAUGCUGGAACGCGAUUCUUUCGAUAUAUCGUAUUGCAUCGGUAUGCAUUAAAUUUAAAUAUUUAAUUAAUCAUCUUUACCUUUCUUUUGAGUGCCUAAACGAAGAUCAAUUGGUUGUAUUUCUAAGCAUGAUGUUUUUUAUAUUUUAUUUACGCUGUUGAUGUUCCCGUCUCCCAAGUCGAAAUGACUAAGCUCUCCGCUAGUUUGCUCUUCGCGUUCGAGAACCUAUGCCGCAAGAAGGGGGAGUUGGGUUCGUCCAUACUUCGAGCCGUCCCGUGACGAAUUGAAACCUGAAAGCUUGAAAGAAAACUCCCGAGUUCUGGUUUUCAAUUGAUUUCUUUCGAGUGCGAGGACUCCUUAUAUACUUUCAAAUUAGUUUACAAUUUACUUCCUAUUUGUUAACUAUCUAUAAACGUAACUCACAGAACCACGACCUAUUUGUCUCUGGGCCGUUCGGGUUAGGUAAUGGUUCCCCUAAAUCUUCUAUUUCUAUUUGUUCGAUAGGAUUGUCUUGUAUAUUUCUUUUCAUGUAGAACGUUACCCCGACGAUAACUUCUACUAAGAUUAACAAUAUGUUAGUUAAAAUUGCAAUUGCGAGAGCGUGAUGUUAACCUGUCUAGUGUUGCGGUUCGAUUGGCAAAAUCUUCAGGGAUCCUAACUGUUUUUUCGCUGAUCGCAUCGAGGGUACCGAACAAUUUCUUAUUUCUAAGAUCUUCGAUGGUUUACAUACGGUGCAAUUCAUCUUCUACGUCUUCUCCACCGAAUAUCAUUCCUUUUAUCAUACCUAACAAGCUCCGUUUGACCUUACGCGAUCCUCGUGCUACGUACCAGAUCUCACGUUCAGCAGCUAUCGUCUGUUGGCGUAUCAUGGCCACCGAAUCAUGUAGGGCAUGAUCGACGGACGGUUGAUUUCGUGCUUUGUCACUGAGCCUCUCCAAUUCGAAUCUUACCUUGGGCAGCCUGCUUGUCAAGUGCGCGAAGCUAACCUCGCGGCGUGUUUCUUUAGACAGGCGCAGAUCACGCCGACUAAAGAGCAAUAAUACUCUGACUCGUUCUCUUUUGUGAAUGACAAAUUUAUUACAACUAAUUCGCGGUUUUAUAGCUAAUUACUGCUGACCGAUCGCGGUCAGCAAUUCUUAUUCUUAUUGUACAUGUGGUUGUUAUUAUUUCGAUAUCGAGCGUGUCAUAUUCUCCGUUGGCGACACUGUUGAUGUCCUGCCGUGGUUAAACGUCCGUCUCGAAAGUUCUUAGCACUUCUCCACGCUGCACUAAACAGGUUCCAAGAUGUGUGAACACGAGUCCCUAGGAAGUGUUCCUAAGGCUUACCCUGUAUCGACUCAUGGAUCCAAACUCUCUGUCCGUGCACCUCUGUCCAUGCGUCGUUUCGGCGUGGUGUUGAAUCGAAUCGUUGUUGCUGACGUCUCGUGCUCUUUUUAUUGGCGAUUUAUGCCUUACCAAUGAGUGUGACAAGAGAUGUUCCUUCUGGCGUAUGUCCACUGUCGCGACUUUUACUGCUGGUCUUGUCAGUACAGUCUCUCCAACUUGUAUUUCCACUGCGCGAACCCGGCCGUCUGUCGCCUCAAAGGUUUUAACUACUCGUCCCUUUAGCCACUUUCCGGGAGGCGCGUUGUCGUCAGUAAGGACGACGACGUCAUUUAUUUUUAAUGGGUCGAUCUUAUCCGUCCAUUUGUUGCGCCGGAUAAGGGUAGGAAGAUAUUCCUUCUUCCAUCGAUCCCAAUAUAUUUUGGCGUGGUGUUGUACCAACUUCCACUGCUUCCGAUUUACGCCUGACGGAACGUCUGCGAAAGGAGGUACUUCGUCCACUGCCCUGCCAAUUAGGAAUUCCACUUCCUUUAGUUCGUUAACACUUCAUCUACCAUACACGUUACCGGAAUGUGAGUUAAGGGUCUCGAGUUCAACAUAGCUUCAAUCUGAAUUAACGUGGCGCGCAAGGUUUCGGGUGUUGGUUUUCGGAGGUUCCAUUGCUUCGAACAUGAAUCUAAGGGCCUUUUUGAUUGUUUGGAUCAAUCGUUCCCAUGAUCCUCCGAAGUGUGGUGCUGCGGGUGGAUUGAAAGUACAUUGAAUGUCAUAUUUCAAUGCCGCUUCUUUCCCCAUUCUGCGAUCUAUUUCUUGCAACAGCUGGUUCUAUUCUUUUUCGGCUCCAACGAAAUUGGUACCGUUAUCGCUGUACAGGUGUGUUAUUUUGCCACGCCGAUGUUGGAAGUUCUUCAGACACACUAAGAAGCUAUCUGUGUCUAGCUUUUCGGCUACUUCAAUAUGCACUGCCCUAGUAGACAUGCAAGUGAAGACUUAUAGAUUUGUCGUUUGGUUUGGCUUUUUAAAAAAAGAUCAAACACUGGACGAGUCCACUUUAUUGAACAACACCGUAAGAAGCGAAACUGUUAACUAACUGCUCGAUGUCGCUCAGCACUGUUGGGUAGCCUCUUGGACGCGUCUGUCCAGAUGGAAUGUGCUGACCUCGCGUGGGAGCCACUACUCCAGGGAUGGUUCCCGACGUUCAUGCGACACCGCGUGUGGAUCUGGUGACAUGUAACGAAUUCGUUCCCUAUCUAGUAAACGUUUCAUAACUUAGUUCUUAUUCACAGAAUGCUAAAUCUUACUUGGUGCUUACUUACAGGAUCAGCGUUAAGAUCUCCGGAGUCAGUUUUUUCAUCUUUUCUUUAAACAAGGAACCUUCGGUUUUGAUUUACUGUGGUGAUCAGAUGGGUCCUCUACUCGACGAUAAACGUUGAUGCUGGCGCGGAACUUCACUUGGGUCACGGUCUCUGUAAUCCACUGUCCACUUCAUCCAAUUGAUAUAAAAGAAUAAUUUUACUUUCUUUUACAACAAGAGAGUGGUCUCGAUGGCUAUCCAAACUGAACUAUUCGAUUUUCCCUGACCUGGCUCCUAACUGGCUCCUGGUUCGGUCAGAUGAUCAGAGCAGGAAACCUCGAUAGCGAAGAGUUAGAAAUAAUAGAAUAUAGACUAAAACUUUUAGAAAACAACACAUUUGUGUCAUUGAAAAUCAAAAGAGGUUCUGAACUACGUAAGGGCAAGCGUAACAUUUGGCAACGGCAAGAUAAUUCUGUUGGUCCAAAUUCCAAGACUAGAGUCGGAGACGCUGUAGUAGACACUAGGUUCAAGAUCUACGCGUACACACACAUUUGCGAUAUGCCUUCAACGAUGAAAGCGAUUUCAACGCGCUACCCAACACGCCACUUGAUUGACGCCACGCCAUAUGAUUCCUAAGAAUCCCGAAAGACGAUUUGGGCAGAUUAAAGAAGGGGUAAUAUUGAUUGACACUGAAGAAACAUAUCCCCAUAAUUGACUCUUGCACAGGAGAAAAGAUUAUGAAAGGGUCAGCGAUAGCAGAGAUAAUAAACUACACGGCAAUCAGCUUCAACAAAUUGCACAGCAAUUCUCCAACACCCCUCGAAUGAUGAUCAAAGUAGAAUAACUCGCACCACUGUACGUUACGACAACAGAACGGAAUACCAAUGAUAUCAACCUGGAUGAAAAUGGUACAGAUGAGUAAUUCACCUUAACAGAAUCCA